UGCAAACAAUCAUGUUGUUUCAGAUUUCGACGAAAAGUACCUUUUCAGAUUUGUGAUUCCGACCCCGGCUGCCACCAACAAGGACGCGUUUUUAGCGACAGAUUCUCUCGGUGAAUCCCGAAUUGUGUGGACCUGUUCUUGUGCAUUCUAGUCGACAUUGUCGAGGAUGGUCGUGGGCAAAGUUCGUCGCGGCCAUUUAGAUAGGUAUAUUUAGCUUAUCUUCCCUCCUCCUCUUCGUCCUCCUCUUGAGUAAAAAAGUCUUUUCGAGCGGCCAAGCAGCAGUUGAUAUUCUGUUGACGGAGCUGGCAAUAGAACCAAUGCAGCCCGAGAGUUUUCGGCCUAAAUGGAAACAUCACAAAGAAUGUACUGGUUUGUACCUGAAGCAUGCUUUGAUCUUAAAAUGAAUUUCGUCAAGUGCGACAGGUCAUCAGGGUGCGACACGCUCUCAUCAACCAGCGGUGCCACUUUUAUCUAAACUCGAAGCUUCCAAACUACGAAUAACCGGCGUGAUAUAGCUGCGCCGUUUCCUAUCGCAAGCGAUUUCAAGUCAAGCAGAGUACCUAAUUGACGACGUCCACAGGAUGGCGAAGAUGGAGCUGGCAUCGAAAAUGCUACAGUUGUGCUGGAUGGGGCGUACGACUUUGAUCAACAUCCUGCUGUAGCGAAAGUUUCCUUCAGAUUUGUUUAACUUAGAAUUAGAAAUGUCUUUUUUUU
Molecule: long non-coding RNA, 714 nt
Organism: Culex pipiens pallens (northern house mosquito)
Lineage: Eukaryota; Metazoa; Arthropoda; Insecta; Diptera; Culicidae
Exons: 2
Source: RefSeq, a predicted model, not a curated record